RNAcentral lists this ribosomal RNA (497 nucleotides) under uncultured bacterium. Its description in RNAcentral is "partial 16S ribosomal RNA". It matches the Rfam family "Bacterial small subunit ribosomal RNA", at positions 28 to 507 of the family's 1533-position model. The record is from RNAcentral.
GACGAACGCUGGCGGCGUGCCUAAUACAUGCAAGUCGAACGCUGAAGAGAGGAGCUUGCUCUUCUUGGCUGAGUUGCGAACGGGUGAGUUACGCGUAGGUCACCUGCCUUGUAGCGGGGGAUAACUAUUGGAAACGAUAGCUAAUCCCGCAUACCACUGGCUGGCAUAUCUCAUUUACUUACAAUGUGCAAUUGCUACACUACAAGAUGGAGCUUCGUUGUAUUAGUUAGUAGGUGUGGCAAUGGCUCACCCAGGCGACGGUACAUAGCCGACCUGAGAGGGUGGACAGAAACCAUGGGACUCAGACACGGCCCAGACUCCUACGAGAGAAAGCAGUAGGGAAUCUGCGGGGAUGGGGGCAAGCCUGACCGUGCAACGCCGCGUGAGUGCAGAAGGGUUUCGGAUCGUAAAGCUCUGUUGUAGGUCAAGAGCGGGGGUGGGAGUGUAAGGUUCACACUGUGACGGGAGUUUACCAGAAAGGGACGGCUCCCUACGUG